AUAGGGAAUGCUGAAAACCUUUAAGAGUAGGCA
Molecule: non-coding RNA, 33 nt
Filed under: unclassified sequences
Description: DUF805b RNA
Rfam family: DUF805b RNA
About the family: Bacteroidetes, Chlorobi (1 example), Proteobacteria. Lineage (Flavobacteria)
Source: RNAcentral